CCUACGGGAGGCAGCAGUGGGGAAUAUUGGACAAUGGGGGCAACCCUGAUCCAGCCAUGCCGCGUGUGUGAAGAAGGCCCUCGGGUUGUAAAGCACUUUCAGUGAGGAAGAACGCCUGGUGGUUAAUACCCAUCAGGAAAGACAUCACUCACAGAAGAAGCACCGGCUAACUCCGUGCCAGCAGCCGCGGUAAUACGGAGGGUGCGAGCGUUAAUCGGAAUUACUGGGCGUAAAGCGCGCGUAGGUGGCUUGAUAAGCCGGUUGUGAAAGCCCCGGGCUCAACCUGGGAACGGCAUCCGGAACUGUCAAGCUAGAGUGUAGGAGAGGAAGGUAGAAUUCCCGGUGUAGCGGUGAAAUGCGUAGAGAUCGGGAGGAAUACCAGUGGCGAAGGCGGCUUUCUGGACUGACACUGACACUGAGGUGCGAAAGCGUGGGUAGCAAACAGGAUUAGAUACCCUUGUAGUC
RNAcentral lists this ribosomal RNA (465 nucleotides) under Vreelandella stevensii. RNAcentral describes it as "partial 16S ribosomal RNA". It matches the Rfam family "Bacterial small subunit ribosomal RNA", at positions 338 to 795 of the family's 1533-position model. The record is from RNAcentral. Lineage: Bacteria; Pseudomonadati; Pseudomonadota; Gammaproteobacteria; Oceanospirillales; Halomonadaceae.